AUACCUACUGCCUACUACAUUAGUAAGUAGUAUGUAGCAGGCCGUUUCGGAAACAGCCAUAGACUGCGGCGUGACCUGAGAUCGUCACAUAGCAGGCUGUUCACUAACCCUGACAAACAUGACAGAGGGGGAGAAACCAACGUUUUUAGCCCCACUUCUACCCUCAAGUUCUGCCGCUAUGCAGAGUAAGAAGAGGAAGACUGAUGGAAAAAGUGACAACUUAAAAACACUGGAUAAAGAGACAAACACGAGUCAAUGGGCCUCAUUCAUUAACAGCGCGUACGCACAAACAAGUGCUUAAACUGUGCGUACGAACGUUUGAAGCACAAAUCUGGGAUUCAUCAAUAUAUUCUUACUUGAAUUUGUUACUACACUGCAAACAAAAAUAGAACUUCCUCAGACCAUGUGUACGCACAAAUGAUGACAACCAACUUGCUCAGAAAAUGUAAACACAUACUCUUUUGACUGAAUGCAUGACAUGUUUAAACUACUUUCAGUAAAAGAAAAAAAGAAGAAGAAAUCCCCCUCUGAGCGGUGAGUCUCCUUCUGACCGGUGAAUUCCCCUCUGACCAGUGAGUCUCCUUCUGACCGGUUAAUUCCCCUCUGACCGGUGAGUCCUCCUCUCUGACCGGUGAGUCCUCCUCUCUGACCGGUAUUGCAAAAUAUUUAAGAAGAAGUCAAAGAAGUGGAGCCUGUACACAAUGAAGGUGGAUAAGGACUACAAGUACAUCACAGACCUCCAGAGCACAAUCCUGCACAGAAGGCUGACAGCAACUGGGGGGAUGCCAAAGAAGAGAACCAGGAGGCCAGAUGAUCCAUGCCAACAUGUUUACCUUCAACAGCCAUUAUUUUUAUUUCUGUAAUAAAUACAUUUUGUAAUUAAAGUAAAUGUAAAACAA
Notolabrus celidotus (New Zealand spotty) is the source of this 899-nucleotide long non-coding RNA. RefSeq lists it as uncharacterized. The transcript is spliced from 2 exons. The record is from RefSeq and is a predicted model, not a curated record. Lineage: Eukaryota; Metazoa; Chordata; Actinopteri; Labriformes; Labridae.